GGAAUAUUGGCAAACCUAUAUAAUCCAAAUUAUGUAAUAUUUAUCAAACCUAGAGCAAAGUGCUAGAUUUGGAAACACUACCUACCAUAUUAACAUGGAUGCACAAAUUAAGGACCACAUACAGGCCUGGCUUUUUAAAUAAAUCCAUUCAUAUAGGUCUUACCCACCUGUGUUCAAUCAGAGCUAUCCAGACAGUGAGGCCUAUGUGAG
This is a non-coding RNA of Pelobates cultripes (western spadefoot toad), 210 nucleotides long. The record is from the annotation of a GenBank genome assembly. Lineage: Eukaryota; Metazoa; Chordata; Amphibia; Anura; Pelobatidae.